CCUACGGGGGGCAGCAGUGGGGAAUAUUGCACAAUGGGGGAAACCCUGAUGCAGCGACGCCGCGUGAGUGAAGAAGUAUCUCGGUACGUAAAGCCCUAUCAGCAGGGAAGAAAAUGACGGUACCUGACUAAGAAGCACCGGCUAACGACGUGCCAGCAGCCGUGGGAAUACGCAGGGGGCAAGCGUUAUCCGGAUUUACUGGGUGUAAAGGGAGCGUAGACGGCAGCACAAGUCUGGAGUGAAAUCCCGGGGUGUAAACCCGGAACUGCUGUGGAAACUGGGCGGCUGGAGUGCAGGAGGGGUAAGCGGAAUGCCUGGUGUAGCGGUGAAAUGCGUAGAUAUUAGGAGGAACACCGGUGGCGAAGGCGGCUUACUGGACUGCAACUGACGUUGAGGCUCGAAAGCGUGGGGAGCAAACAGGAUUAGAUACCCUUGUAGUC
Molecule: ribosomal RNA, 440 nt
Filed under: uncultured bacterium
Lineage: Bacteria
Description: partial 16S ribosomal RNA
Rfam family: Bacterial small subunit ribosomal RNA
Source: RNAcentral